Molecule: transfer RNA, 76 nt
Filed under: Metamycoplasma phocicerebrale
Lineage: Bacteria; Bacillati; Mycoplasmatota; Mycoplasmoidales; Metamycoplasmataceae
Description: Mycoplasma phocicerebrale tRNA-Arg
Rfam family: tRNA
About the family: Transfer RNA (tRNA) molecules are approximately 80 nucleotides in length. Their secondary structure includes four short double-helical elements and three loops (D, anti-codon, and T loops).
Source: RNAcentral
GGUCGCAUAGCUCAGUGGAUAGAGCAUCAACCUCCUAAGUUGAGGGUCGUAGGUUCAACUCCUACUGCGAUCGCCA